Molecule: non-coding RNA, 104 nt
Filed under: Clostridium beijerinckii NCIMB 8052
Lineage: Bacteria; Bacillati; Bacillota; Clostridia; Eubacteriales; Clostridiaceae
Description: yjdF RNA
Rfam family: azaaromatic riboswitch aptamer (yjdF RNA)
Source: RNAcentral
UAUUUAAGAGAUAAAAACACUGUUUCUGUUGGUAGUCAGAACCUAUAUUAUAAUAUAGCAGUAACCUGCCCUCCUGGGGUUGUCCAUUCUCUGUGAAUUUAUAU